UACGUAGGAUCCGAGCGUUGUUCGGAAUUACUGGGCGUAAAGGGCACGUAGGCGGCGAUGCGGGUCAGAUGUGAAAGCCCCGGGCUCAACCUGGGAACUGCAUUUGAAACUGCAUUGCUUGAGGACGGAAGAGGAGAACGGAAUUCCCAGUGUAGAGGUGAAAUUCGUAGAUAUUGGGAAGAACACCAGUGGCGAAGGCGGUUCUCUGGUCCGUUCCUGACGCUGAGGUGCGAAAGCGUGGGGAGCAAACAGG
RNAcentral lists this unclassified non-coding RNA (253 nucleotides) under uncultured Alphaproteobacteria bacterium. RNAcentral describes it as "contains 16S-23S intergenic spacer region". It matches the Rfam family "Bacterial small subunit ribosomal RNA", at positions 524 to 776 of the family's 1533-position model. Lineage: Bacteria; Pseudomonadati; Pseudomonadota; Alphaproteobacteria. The record is from RNAcentral.